AGCGUUAUUUUCAAGAUCGUGAAACAAAGAUGAGCGAUUUGUGAACAGUUAAUGAUUAUGGUUCGACUACGAGAUUGCAGAUCAUCGUAUGAGUUCUCGAUGUUAGUGUGUGCAUCGUGCAACAUAGACAUGGAUCAAAGAUAUAGGGUGGGCUCCUGAUAUUUGAAGUUGUUUCUACUCUUCCUCUUAUUUGUAUUGAUUCUCUAUUUUGCAUUUUAGGGAUGACUUAUCUAUUUUUUUUUUGUACUUUAUCUUGUACUCUAUUAUCAUUAGAAGCUCUUGUAUCGAUUUCACCA
This is a long non-coding RNA of Capsicum annuum, 296 nucleotides long. RefSeq lists it as uncharacterized. Lineage: Eukaryota; Viridiplantae; Streptophyta; Magnoliopsida; Solanales; Solanaceae. The record is from RefSeq and is a predicted model, not a curated record. The transcript has 2 exons.